This is a non-coding RNA of Mycena leptocephala, 93 nucleotides long. The record is from the annotation of a GenBank genome assembly. NCBI's taxonomy places the organism in Eukaryota, Fungi, Basidiomycota, Agaricomycetes, Agaricales, Mycenaceae.
GCCUCGGUGGCGGAUGGCCCGCGUCUGCGACAGUUCAUUGGUUACUAUAUAUGGGUUAUGCAGAGGUCGCUCGUUUGAUUCGAGCCCGAGGCA